This 324-nucleotide ribosomal RNA is filed under the name uncultured Chloroflexota bacterium. RNAcentral describes it as "bacterial SSU rRNA". It matches the Rfam family "Bacterial small subunit ribosomal RNA", at positions 28 to 351 of the family's 1533-position model. Lineage: Bacteria; Bacillati; Chloroflexota. The record is from RNAcentral.
GAUGAACGUUGGCGGCGUGCCUAAUACAUGCAAGUCGGACGUGAUCCAUUAGCAAUAAUGGUGAAAGUGGCGGACGGGUGAGUAACACAUGGCUGACCUGCCCUUCAGAGGGGGACAACCACUGGAAACGGUGGCUAAUACCCCAUACGUUCGCGGAGAUUAGAGGCUCUGCGAGGAAAGCCUUCGGGUGCUGAAGGAGGGGGCUGUGGCCCAUCAGCUAGUUGGUAGGGUAAAGGCCUACCAAGGCGAGGACGGGUAGGGGGCCUGAGAGGGUGAUCCCCCACACUGGAACUGAGAGACGGUCCAGACUCCUACGGGAGGCAG